This 514-nucleotide ribosomal RNA is filed under the name uncultured bacterium. RNAcentral's name for it is "partial 16S ribosomal RNA". It matches the Rfam family "Bacterial small subunit ribosomal RNA", at positions 355 to 857 of the family's 1533-position model. The record is from RNAcentral.
UGGGGAAUAUUGCACAAUGGGCGCAAGCCUGAUGCAGCCAUGCCGCGUGUGUGAAGAAGGCCUUCGGGUUGUAAAGCACUUUCAGCGAGGAGGAAGGUGGUGAGCUUAAUACGCUCAUCAAUUGACGUUACUCGCAGAAGAAGCACCGGCUAACUCCGUGCCAGCAGCCGCGGUAAUACGGAGGGUGCAAGCGUUAAUCGGAAUUACUGGGCGUAAAGCGCACGCAGGCGGUUUGUUAAGUCAGAUGUGAAAUCCCCGGGCUCAACCUGGGAACUGCAUUUGAAACUGGCAAGCUAGAGUCUCGUAGAGGGGGGUAGAAUUCCAGGUGUAGCGGUGAAAUGCGUAGAGAUCUGGAGGAAUACCGGUGGCGAAGGCGGCCCCCUGGACGAAGACUGACGCUCAGGUGCGAAAGCGUGGGGCAGCAAACAGGAUUAGAUACCCUGGUAGUCCACGCUGUAAAACGAUGUCGAUUUUGGAGGUUGUGCCCCUUGAGGCGUGGCUUCCGGAGCUAACG